AGAAAGCCCAUUUUUGUGUCUGUCAGCUUAGAUGCUCUUGCCCGGACUGCUAAAGAUGCAGCUAUUUACAGUGGACAAAAACUGAAGGGGUGAAAGAAAACCCAAGAUGCCAGACCAGUUUGACCAGGCGGUUGUGCUGAACCAGCUGCGGUACUCAGGGAUGCUGGAGACUGUGAGAAUCCGCAAAGCUGGGUAUGCGGUCCGAAGACCCUUUCAGGACUUUUACAAAAGGUAUAAAGUGCUGAUGAGGAAUCUGGCUCUGCCCGAGGACGUCCGAGGGAAGUGCACGAGCCUGCUGCAGCUCUAUGAUGCCUCCAACAGCGAGUGGCAGCUGGGGAAGACCAAGGUACGAUGCGGAGAAAGAGCAACUCCCACCGAAUCCCUGACAGAUCUCGGGGUGAUGCUCACAGGGUUUAGGGCUCUAUGACACCACUGUACAAUUGUUCUUUCACAUUGGGAAGAUACUCCUGUUGCCAUGCCUACCAUAACCUUUUGUCUCCCAAACAGUUACUAUUUUAUUUGAAGUGAAGUCCUUGACUUGUCAGGGACUCUGUUUCAUUAGAGAACACAUUGAAACAUCUC
This 582-nucleotide small RNA is filed under the name Pan troglodytes (chimpanzee). RNAcentral's name for it is "retained intron". Lineage: Eukaryota; Metazoa; Chordata; Mammalia; Primates; Hominidae. The record is from RNAcentral.